Molecule: ribosomal RNA, 373 nt
Filed under: uncultured bacterium
Lineage: Bacteria
Description: bacterial SSU rRNA
Rfam family: Bacterial small subunit ribosomal RNA
Source: RNAcentral
CGAAGAACCUUACCUAGGCUUGACAUGCGCGGAAAUCUCGCAGAGAUGCGGGGUCCGUAAGGGCCGUGCACAGGUGGUGCAUGGUUGUCGUCAGCUCGUGUCGUGAGAUGUUGGGUUUAGUCCCGCAACGAGCGCAACCCUCGUCCUCUGUUGCCAGCGCGUAAUGGUGGGGACUCAUAGGAGACUGCCGGGGUCAACUCGGAGGAAGGUGGGGAUGACGUCAAAUCAUCAUGCCCCUUAUGUCCAGGGCCGCAAACAUGCUACAAUGGCCGGUACAAAGGGCUGCGAUACCGUGAGGUGGAGCGAAUCCCAAAAAGCCGGUCUCAGUUCGGAUUGGGGUCUGCAACUCGCCCCAUGAAGUCGGAGUCGCUAG